GCGAGUCGCAAAGCCGGGGAUCGAAGAACGAUUGAGAACUCAACGACUCAACUGAAUCGAAGGAGUAGGAGAACGAGGAGAACCGUUCACUCGCGAGCUGAAUCGAAGAGCAACGGAAUCGUUUGCUCUCAAACGGUGCACUGGUUCUUGGGGAGCACAAGGAAACGGGCUCCGUGAUUGGCAUGGAGUCGGAAAAACGAACUUGAAAAGUAUAGCGGUUCGUUACCAUGAAAGAUGCAGAUAAGCUAGGGUGAAUCGCUAACUGAAACUGAGGUAAGUAACGCUGCACGAAACUGUUUUCACUGUUUUGCUCGCAAUUAUUAUAAUUUGAAUAGUUGCAGUUGACGCUCGGCGGAGGAUAAGUUGGCUGUAUACUUUCUGAAACAAAUUCCCCAUGAUCAUUGGGAACUGUUAUAUUUGUCUUUCGGUGCUCUGGUCGGUAUUUCCAGUAUCCGCCGGCAGUAUAUGGUGAGUUCGCAUAAAUAACGCUUUCUUGCAGCGGUAAGCAAGAUCUGGGUAAUGUUGACAUUUUGCUCGUAAUCAUUGAAAAUUUGUAGUUCGAAUCUUUGCAGCACCUGCUCAGGAGAACGGUGAGUUUGCAUGAGUGGGACUGAUACCUUUUUGCAGUGAUGAUUUGAUUCAGACAUUGAUGUGUCAUGUAACUGAACGAGACUUUAAUUUCAGAAGCCUUCCAACAAAGGGCUCGCAAGCGUGACAUCGGAGAGCCCGUUACCAAUUACGGAAACUGUUUUAAGCUUCACGACUGCCGAGUGACACCGGAUGUGUUGCAGACAUUGCGAUGAGACCUUCAACGUGUUUGUGUUGUGUGCUCUCAGGAAACAAUCUCGGACGUGCGCACGUGUGUUGUAUAUGUAUCUGUGCAUAAUAUUGGAUACCACAUCCAAGGGUCGAUCCAGGACAGACACCUACAGCCUUCACCACGGUUACUUGGAAACGUACACGAUGUCACGAAGAGUGGAUUUAAGAAACCGAACCACACACCCUGGAUGGAAGUACUUAGAUCUUCA
This is a long non-coding RNA of Ornithodoros turicata, 1028 nucleotides long. RefSeq lists it as uncharacterized. The record is from RefSeq and is a predicted model, not a curated record. Lineage: Eukaryota; Metazoa; Arthropoda; Arachnida; Ixodida; Argasidae. The transcript has 4 exons.